Molecule: ribosomal RNA, 77 nt
Filed under: Sinocyclocheilus anshuiensis
Lineage: Eukaryota; Metazoa; Chordata; Actinopteri; Cypriniformes; Cyprinidae
Source: RNAcentral
ACUUACGGCCAUCCCACCCUGUCUGCGCCCGAUCUAGUCUGCUCUCGGAAGCAAAGCAGGGUCGGGCAUGGUUAGUA